CCUACGGGAGGCAGCAGUGGGGAAUAUUGGACAAUGGGCGAAAGCCUGAUCCAGCCAUGCCGCGUGUGUGAAGAAGGCCUUCGGGUUGUAAAGCACUUUCAGUGAGGAAGAAAGCCUUGGGGCUAAUACCCUCGAGGAAGGACAUCACCCACAGAAGAAGCACCGGCUAACUCCGUGCCAGCAGCCGCGGUAAUACGGAGGGUGCGAGCGUUAAUCGGAAUUACUGGGCGUAAAGCGCGCGUAGGCGGUCUGAUAAGCCGGUUGUGAAAGCCCCGGGCUCAACCUGGGAACGGCAUCCGGAACUGUCAGGCUAGAGUGCAGGAGAGGAAGGUAGAAUUCCCGGUGUAGCGGUGAAAUGCGUAGAGAUCGGGAGGAAUACCAGUGGCGAAGGCGGCCUUCUGGACUGACACUGACGCUGAGGUGCGAAAGCGUGGGUAGCAAACAGGAUUAGAUACCCCAGUAGUC
Molecule: ribosomal RNA, 465 nt
Filed under: Vreelandella stevensii
Lineage: Bacteria; Pseudomonadati; Pseudomonadota; Gammaproteobacteria; Oceanospirillales; Halomonadaceae
Description: partial 16S ribosomal RNA
Rfam family: Bacterial small subunit ribosomal RNA
Source: RNAcentral